GAAAAAAUGACGAGGAUGACAGCAGUAUUUCAUGCCGCCCCCACAUAACUGCGUGAGAGCGGCUCUCUUUU
This 71-nucleotide small RNA is filed under the name Salmonella enterica subsp. enterica serovar Typhimurium str. SL1344. RNAcentral describes it as "STnc1600". The record is from RNAcentral. Lineage: Bacteria; Pseudomonadati; Pseudomonadota; Gammaproteobacteria; Enterobacterales; Enterobacteriaceae. RNAcentral also lists the same sequence under 1 other name.